This 497-nucleotide ribosomal RNA is filed under the name uncultured bacterium. RNAcentral's name for it is "partial 16S ribosomal RNA". It matches the Rfam family "Bacterial small subunit ribosomal RNA", at positions 28 to 507 of the family's 1533-position model. The record is from RNAcentral.
GAUGAACGCUGGCGGCGUGCCUAAUACAUGCAAGUCGAGCGAACAGACGAGGAGCUUGCUCCUCUGACGUUAGCGGCGGACGGGUGAGUAACACGUGGAUAACCUACCUAUAAGACUGGGAUAACUUCGGGAAACCGGAGCUAACACCGGAUAAUAUAUUGAACCGCAUGGUUCAAUAGUGAAAGACGGUUUUGCUGUCACUUAUAGAUGGAUCCGCGCCGCAUUAGCUAGUUGGUAAGGUAACGGCUUACCAAGGCAACGAUGCGUAGCCGACCUGAGAGAGUGAUCGGCCACACUGGAACUGGAACACGGUCCAGACUCCUACGGGAGGCAGCAGUAGGGAAUCUGCCGCAAUGGGCGAGAGCCUGACGGAGCAACGCCGCGUGAGUGACGAAGGUCUUGGGAUCGUAAAACUCUGUUAUUAGGGAAGAACAAAUGUGUAAGUAACUAUGCACUUCGUGACGGUACCUAAUCAGAAAGCCACGGCUAACUACGUG